RNAcentral lists this ribosomal RNA (459 nucleotides) under uncultured bacterium. RNAcentral describes it as "partial 16S ribosomal RNA". It matches the Rfam family "Bacterial small subunit ribosomal RNA", at positions 338 to 795 of the family's 1533-position model. The record is from RNAcentral.
CCUACGGGUGGCAGCAGUGAGGAAUAUUGGUCAAUGGGCGAGAGCCUGAACCAGCCAAGUCGCGUGAAGGAUGAAGGAUCUAUGGGUUGUAAACUUCUUUUAUAUGGGAAUAAAGUGAGGAACGUGUUCCUUUUUGUAUGUACCAUAUGAAUAAGCAUCGGCUAACUCCGUGCCAGCAGCCGCGGUAAUACGGAGGAUGCGAGCGUUAUCCGGAUUUAUUGGGUUUAAAGGGUGCGUCGGCGGACUGGAAAGUCCGCGGUAAAAUCGUGGGGCUCAACCUCUUACCGCCGUUGAAACUGUCGGUCUUGAGUGGGCGAGAAGUAUGCGGAAUGCGUGGUGUAGCGGUGAAAUGCAUAGAUAUCACGCAGAACUCCGAUUGCGAAGGCAGCAUACCGGCGCCCGACUGACGCUGAGGCACGAAAGCGUGGGUAUCGAACAGGAUUAGAUACCCGGGUAGUC